Molecule: ribosomal RNA, 460 nt
Filed under: uncultured bacterium
Lineage: Bacteria
Description: partial 16S ribosomal RNA
Rfam family: Bacterial small subunit ribosomal RNA
Source: RNAcentral
CCUACGGGUGGCAGCAGUGAGGAAUAUUGGUCAAUGGGCGCGAGCCUGAACCAGCCAAGUAGCGUGAAGGAUGACUGCCCUACGGGUUGUAAACUUCUUUUAUAAAGGAAUCAAGUGAGGCACGUGUGCCUUUUUGUAUGUACUUUAUGAAUAAGGAUCGGCUAACUCCGUGCCAGCAGCCGCGGUAAUCCGGAGGAUCCGAGCGUUAUCCGGAUUUAUUGGGUUUCAAGGGAGCGUAUAUGGGUUGUUACUGCAGUUGGGAAAGUUUGCGGCAUAACCGUAAAAUUGCAAUUGAUACUGGCAGCCUUGAGUACAGUUGAGGUAGGCGGAAUUCGUGGUGUAGCGGUGAAAUGCUUAGAUAUCACGAAGAACUCCGAUUGCGAAGGCAGCUUACUAAACUGCCACUGACAUUGAUGCUCGAAAGUGUGGGUAUCAAACAGGAUUAGAUACCCGAGUAGUC